This 466-nucleotide ribosomal RNA is filed under the name Trichoderma sp. RNAcentral's name for it is "eukaryotic LSU rRNA". The stretch from base 138 to 291 matches the Rfam family "5.8S ribosomal RNA". The record is from RNAcentral. Lineage: Eukaryota; Fungi; Ascomycota; Sordariomycetes; Hypocreales; Hypocreaceae.
CCUCGGCGGGGUCACGCCCCGGGUGCGUCGCAGCCCCGGAACCAGGCGCCCGCCGGAGGGACCAACCAAACUCUUUCUGUAGUCCCCUCGCGGACGUUAUUUCUUACAGCUCUGAGCAAAAAUUCAAAAUGAAUCAAAACUUUCAACAACGGAUCUCUUGGUUCUGGCAUCGAUGAAGAACGCAGCGAAAUGCGAUAAGUAAUGUGAAUUGCAGAAUUCAGUGAAUCAUCGAAUCUUUGAACGCACAUUGCGCCCGCCACUAUUCUGGCGGGCAUGCCUGUCCGAGCGUCAUUUCAACCCUCGAACCCCUCCGGGGGGUCGGCGUUGGGGAUCGGGAACCCCUAAGACGGGAUCCCGGCCCCGAAAUACAGUGGCGGUCUCGCCGCAGCCUCUCCUGCGCAGUAGUUUGCACAACUCGCACCGGGAGCGCGGCGCGUCCACGUCCGUAAAACACCCAACUCUGAAA